RNAcentral lists this non-coding RNA (45 nucleotides) under Schistosoma margrebowiei. Lineage: Eukaryota; Metazoa; Platyhelminthes; Trematoda; Strigeidida; Schistosomatidae. The record is from RNAcentral.
GUCUAGCUGAUGUGUCCCAACUAGGACGAGACAUACGUCCUAGAU